GUGUCAGCAGCCGCGGUAAUACAGAGGGUGCGAGCGUUGUCCGGAAUCACUGGGCGUAAAGGGCGCGUAGGUGGCGGGGUAAGCGUGUGGUGAAAGUCCGGGGCUCAACCCCGGAUCGGCCAUGCGAACUGCCCGGCUGGAGCACGGUAGAGGCACAUGGAAUUCCGGGUGUAGCGGUGGAAUGCGUAGAGAUCCGGAAGAACACCGGUGGCGAAGGCGGUGUGCUGGGCCGUUGCUGACACUGAAGCGCGACAGCGUGGGGAGCAAACAGGAUUAGAAACCCUCGUAGUCC
Molecule: ribosomal RNA, 292 nt
Filed under: uncultured bacterium
Lineage: Bacteria
Description: partial 16S ribosomal RNA
Rfam family: Bacterial small subunit ribosomal RNA
Source: RNAcentral